RNAcentral lists this long non-coding RNA (1831 nucleotides) under Drosophila guanche. Lineage: Eukaryota; Metazoa; Arthropoda; Insecta; Diptera; Drosophilidae. The record is from RNAcentral.
AUUCACUAUCAUUUUGCCACAAACGUCAAAACAACUGUCGACCAAAUUUGUAUGGAAUAUAACAAUUUGAUUACGUUUCGGAUCUCAGAAGUUUGCUCAGAUGUUUGGAUAGCUCCCCUUCCACACACACACACAUUAUAUUUAUGCUCAAAGAGAGAGAGAGUCGAGGAGGUCGUAGAGUUCUUCUUGGAUCAUGUGCUGCUGCAUUUCCACACACAAGCUCAAGCUGCUGGUCGUCUGCCUGACGCUCCUUGUGCAGGUUGUCCAUCAGAGUGAUGGGUAAGGGAAAAGUGUAUUUAAUCAGUGUCCCCGUGCCUCUCCGCAGAUUGAUGGCGAGCUAAAGGCCGCUAAUAAUGGCACCCUGCUGCUGUACUACAGCAAAACCCAUUUCCUCGGAUAUCUGAUAACUCGCAUCUGCCUGGGCAUCUUUCUGGCCAUUUGGGCAUUCGCUGGCUUCAUUUCGCUCUUCUAUGACUCCGUCUGGGGUGUGGCUGCUGUGAGUAUAGUCCGCUCCUCUCCUUGACUGUCUUUGAAUGUCUGACUGUCUCUCCUGCAGUACUCGACUGGCAUUUGUUUUCUCACCGUUUUGGAUCUCUUUACACUGUACUAUCGCCAUGUAUUGCGAGCUCAGGGAUAUUUUGUAAAUUCUGUGAAGUUUGAACGACGUCACAAACUGUCGCGUGUCGCCCAUAAUCAUGAAACUCUAGAUGAGGGCAUUGGCGAUGCCAUGCUUUUGACCAUCAACAUUGUUCAGGUGUGCCAUCAACCAUUCAGUCCCUCAUAUCAAUCAGUUUGUAUUGCUAGACAAUAUACGUACGUACAUGUAUUUAGGUAGCCGUUCAAGUUUCUGUCAAUAUUGCCGGUUGGUGGCUGGCCGUUAGACUGCGAAGACAUCACCAGAACGAGGCCAAAUAUGAGAGCGACAAGGCCUACCUCGAGUCUUUGUUGAAAAGUCAUCCGCCCAUGGCGCCGCAAUCAAAUCCGCUGNNNNNNNNNNNNNNUCGUUAACAAACGAAAAAGCAACAAAGAACGUCCAGAACAAAUGAAGACACAAGACCUCGGAUUCCACUUGCAGCACUUCUGCUGCCCCUUCAACGCAAGUAUCUACAUUGAAAUUAUAAUGCUGCCUGCUUGAGGCACGCCACUAUACAAGUUUUUAUAUUUUUGUUCGGGCUCGGACCCUCGAAAAAUUGGUGGGUUGAACAAGGUUCAACGUUGAACCCUUUAUUCCAAAUGCCACGCUUUGGGGCAUAAUGCUCUUGAUUGGCUUUUGCGUUGCUUACUGCGGAUUUUCCUUGCUUGCUUUUGGCAUUUUUUGUUCGCUUGUUUAGUGCUUUUCCCUUUGCUCUUUUCUGCUUUUCUGCUUUUCUUCUGUAGUUUUUUUGCCAACUUUGACUCCGUCUUGCGAUGCAUUCAACAAGCGCUGCAACAUUGUGGCAGCACAAGUUGACCUUAACAGGUCAUGGCCAAUGUCAUGUCCCCUUUUCCUUUAUUUGUUCGGGUUCAAGGACUCGUUGAUGCACAGUUUUGUUGUCGCUUUCAUUUCAGCUCGACACUCGUUGGGCCUGUUCAAGCCGUUGAUGUUUGAGGGACGCAAAACCCCGGCCAGAUCAUUGGCCUGUCGAGGGCCCCACAAAAAGGAUGCCAACCAAAAUUGUACUUUGCCCAGCGGAACUUCUUCACGACUUCUCGGAGUAAUUACACAUGCAAUAAGCAUGCAUAUAAAUAAAAACAACUAUUGAUGAUUGAAGCUCUGACUAUAUUUUACUCGCCGACUUGACUUCACUUCUCACCGAUGCUGCAACCAUAAGAUCAAGGAAACAAAUCAGAU